Molecule: ribosomal RNA, 252 nt
Filed under: uncultured bacterium
Lineage: Bacteria
Description: partial 16S ribosomal RNA
Rfam family: Bacterial small subunit ribosomal RNA
Source: RNAcentral
UACGGAGGAUGCGAGCGUUAUCCGGAUUUAUUGGGUUUAAAGGGUGCGUAGGCGGGUUAUCAAGUCAGCGGUAAAAUCGUGGAGCUCAACUCCAUCCAGCCGUUGAAACUGAUGAUCUUGAGUGGGCGAGAAGUAUGCGGAAUGCGCGGUGUAGCGGUGAAAUGCAUAGAUAUCACGCAGAACUCCGAUUGCGAAGGCAGCAUACCGGCGCCCGACUGACGCUGAGGCACGAAAGCGUGGGUAUCGAACAGG